Molecule: ribosomal RNA, 491 nt
Filed under: uncultured bacterium
Lineage: Bacteria
Description: partial 16S ribosomal RNA
Rfam family: Bacterial small subunit ribosomal RNA
Source: RNAcentral
GAUGAACGCUAGCUACAGGCUUAACACAUGCAAGUCGAGGGGAAACGACAUUGAAGCUUGCUUCGAUGGUCGUCGACCGGCGCACGGGUGAGUAACGCGUAUCCAACCUGCCUCUGACCAAGGGAUAACCCGUCGAAAGUCGGCCUAAUACCUUAUGCAGUCGUCGGAAGUCAUCUGAUGACGACGAAAGAUUUCAUCGGUGAGAGAUGGGGAUGCGUCUGAUUAGCUUGUUGGCGGGGUAACGGCCCACCAAGGCAACGAUCAGUAGGGGUUCUGAGAGGAAGGUCCCCCACAUUGGAACUGAGACACGGUCCAAACUCCUACGGGAGGCAGCAGUGAGGAAUAUUGGUCAAUGGGCGAGAGCCUGAACCAGCCAAGUAGCGUGCAGGAUGGCGGCCCUAUGGGUUGUAAACUGCUUUUAUGCGGGGAUAAAGUGAGGGACGUGUCCUUCAUUGCAGGUACCGCAUGAAUAAGGACCGGCUAAUUCCGUG